This is a small nuclear RNA of Suncus etruscus (white-toothed pygmy shrew), 108 nucleotides long. NCBI's taxonomy places the organism in Eukaryota, Metazoa, Chordata, Mammalia, Eulipotyphla, Soricidae. The record is from RefSeq and is a predicted model, not a curated record.
GUGCUCGCUUCGGCAGCACAGAUACUAAAAUUGGAACAAUACAGGGAAGAUUAGUAUGGCCCCUGCACAAGUUAUGUAGCACUGUUUGAAAAAAAAAAGAAAAAGAAA